RNAcentral lists this ribosomal RNA (272 nucleotides) under uncultured alpha proteobacterium GT9-2b. Its description in RNAcentral is "partial 16S ribosomal RNA". It matches the Rfam family "Bacterial small subunit ribosomal RNA", at positions 986 to 1258 of the family's 1533-position model. The record is from RNAcentral. Lineage: Bacteria; Pseudomonadati; Pseudomonadota; Alphaproteobacteria.
AUGCACUGACAUCCACAGAGAUGAGGUUGCGACUUCGGGAGCAGGGACACAGGUGCUGCAUGGCUGUCGUCAGCUCGUGUCGUGAGAUGUUGGGUUAAGUCCCGCAACGAGCGCAACCCUCACCCUUAGUUGCCAGCAUUCAGUUCGGCACUCUAAGGGGAAUGCCGGUUAAUAACCUAGAGGAAGGUGGGGAUCACGUCAAGUCCUCAUGGCCCUUACGGGCUGGGCUACACACGUGCUACAAUGGUGGUGACAGUGAGCAGCGAAGGACC